Molecule: ribosomal RNA, 468 nt
Filed under: uncultured bacterium
Lineage: Bacteria
Description: partial 16S ribosomal RNA
Rfam family: Bacterial small subunit ribosomal RNA
Source: RNAcentral
GACGAACGCUGGCGGCGUGCUUAACACAUGCAAGUCGAACGGAAAGGCCCUGCUUUUGUGGGGUGCUCGAGUGGCGAACGGGUGAGUAACACGUGAGUAACCUGCCCUUGACUUUGGGAUAACUUCAGGAAACUGGGGCUAAUACCGGAUAGGAGCUCCUGCUGCAUGGUGGGGGUUGGAAAGUUUCGGCGGUUGGGGAUGGACUCGCGGCUUAUCAGCUUGUUGGUGGGGUAGUGGCUUACCAAGGCUUUGACGGGUAGCCGGCCUGAGAGGGUGACCGGCCACAUUGCGACUGAGAUACUGCCCAGACUGCAACGGGGGGCAGCAGUGGCGAAUAUUGCACAAUGGGCGGAAGCCUGAUGCAGCACCGCCGCGUGCGGGAUGACGGCCUUCGGGUUGUAAACCGCUUUCGCCUGUGACGAAGCGUGAGUGACGGUAAUGGGUAAAGAAGCACCGGCUAACUUCGUG